CGGCAGUGCACUGAGGGAGCUGCACUGGCAGCAGGGAGAUAAACCGGAGGGGCACAGGCUGCGUGGGCCAAGUGGCCUCUCCUUGACCAGCAAUCCCUUAUGUCUGUGGGAGAUGGAGUGGGACAGGAGCAGCAGGAAGCCUCCUCCAAUCCUUUCUAGCAGUUCCUCAGAAUAAAUUGUAGAUAAGAGGAAAGGCAGCUGAGAAUGCAAAGACAAAGAAAAGAGCUGCAGCCUUUUGCAGAAAAAAUGAGUAGGUACCUGUAGUGAGGUACAUACAGUGAUUGAUAGUUGGCCUCUGACUUGCUUUGUUUUUUGUUUAUUUUAUUUCCAGUAAUUGUUUCCUGAUUGGAAACAUAGAGAGGGGAAAAAAGACAAAUGAUUUGCGUGUUUCCUGUUGUAACAGCGGAGUGAAGGAAGGCUCCCUGGAGAGAAAGUUCAUUAGCAUCCCAAGGGCUCAGCCCAAGGUGUGUUUGCCCAUCUGCUCCAGGAAGGAGUGA
Molecule: long non-coding RNA, 497 nt
Filed under: Coturnix japonica (Japanese quail)
Lineage: Eukaryota; Metazoa; Chordata; Aves; Galliformes; Phasianidae
Description: lncRNA (ENSCJPG00005016245.1)
Source: RNAcentral